RNAcentral lists this signal recognition particle RNA (100 nucleotides) under Cyclonatronum proteinivorum. Its description in RNAcentral is "Candidatus Cyclonatronum proteinivorum Bacterial small signal recognition particle RNA". It matches the Rfam family "Bacteroidales small SRP", at positions 8 to 103 of the family's 107-position model. From Rfam's summary of the family: The non-coding component of the signal recognition particle in Bacteroides Lineage: Bacteria; Pseudomonadati; Balneolota; Balneolia; Balneolales; Cyclonatronaceae. The record is from RNAcentral.
GGGUAAGUGCUGCACGGCCAGCUCCCUCUGAACUCCGCCAGGACCGGAAGGUAGCAACGGUAGGAGGUCGUAGCGGCGCGAUGCGGUUAGCUUACCCCGA